This 207-nucleotide unclassified non-coding RNA is filed under the name Hevea brasiliensis (rubber tree). The record is from RNAcentral. Lineage: Eukaryota; Viridiplantae; Streptophyta; Magnoliopsida; Malpighiales; Euphorbiaceae.
UCCCUAGAUAUUUCUCUGGCCUCUAAAAUAUUUAUGUCAAAGAACACAUCGUAAGAUCUGAGUUUCAUUUCCUAUUAAGCAAUAUAAAACCCUCUUUUCCUUUGAAAAAUAGUUGUGCAUAGUAGAACACCAUACAUGAAGGAAGAACAUGGUUAUUCACCAAAAUUAAUCACUAAGGUCAUCCAGGAUUUUUUUUUUUUUUUCCUG